RNAcentral lists this unclassified non-coding RNA (912 nucleotides) under Hevea brasiliensis (rubber tree). Lineage: Eukaryota; Viridiplantae; Streptophyta; Magnoliopsida; Malpighiales; Euphorbiaceae. The record is from RNAcentral.
AUCAAAAUUAAAUUAAAAAAUAAACUAAACAAAAGAUUACAAGUGAUAAAAUGUCUAAAAAAAAUUAAAAAUAUCAUCAAUUUACACUUGUAAAUCCAAAAUAUUAUUCAAAUGUACAACGUCCCAAAAGAGCGAACUGGCUAAGCCUGCCUACGUAGCAUAUAACCAAGUAGCGUACCACACUCCAGGUGACUAUGGUUGAAACAUUGAUUUCAACAAUCCAUAUUGCUUAUCAUCCAUGCUCUGGAUCAUCUCAGAAAUUGCUAAGUCAACUGUGCAGCAAUUUCUAGUAGUAGUAACAAUGGUCUAUUUAAACGCUCGAGAUUGACCCACAAUGGUACAAAAAUUCCCAAAUAUGAAUAUGACACUUUUGACAGCUCAAAACCAUGGGAAAAAAUUGGGAGGUUCUAGCCCUCUACAUAUGCCAGUAACAUAGGUCUCAGCACACAAAUACCUCUCCAGUCCAGAAUGCAGACAAGAAGGGUUAAGUGAACACACCAAAUAACUAAAACUGAGUUAACUCAGCCACUUUUACAGGUAAAAUAAUUUACCAUCCCUGAGAUCCAUUUCAUCAACCACAAAUAGUCACUAUGAUAACAGAAGCAACAACACCAGCAUUUUCACUCUAAUCAGAGAUCAAGGAAUCCAAAUUAUCAUUAUCAUUAUCCACCCUACCAGCACCAUCAAACAUCGAACCAUCUACCAAUGCACAACUCUCUAUGGCCUACUAAAGUAAAGCUAGCAUCAACUUUCAAAAGUCCAAGAGAAAUUUCAAGAUUCAAAAAAGAGAUUAAAAGCAACAAAACUAGUCUCUAAUACCACUAAUCUCAAACAUGAUCCAUCAUUGAUUAGUGUCCACAACCUUUUGUUUGUUUAAGUAAUACACACAAGCCUCUGUGUGCGUGUGUGUGU